This is a long non-coding RNA of Oncorhynchus gorbuscha (pink salmon), 1474 nucleotides long. RefSeq lists it as uncharacterized. The transcript is spliced from 3 exons. Lineage: Eukaryota; Metazoa; Chordata; Actinopteri; Salmoniformes; Salmonidae. The record is from RefSeq and is a predicted model, not a curated record.
AAGGAAAACAUUGCAACACCAACUAACCCUACGCCUAUAUACCACUAUGUAAUUCAAAUUAAUAUCACCACCCCAUUCGACUACUUUGACCCUAACUGAUUCUACACCAGGCCGACAGCCUGGGAGGGCAGGACCCUUUCGUUCAACACACCUUGUAGCUCUUCUGCAGUAAAACCUCGUAUAUGUACUUUUCUGCAGCUGAGCUAGCUUCACUGAUUAAACAGUACCCGACUUCUUUUCUACCCUGGCCCGAGACUGCAUAUGGAUCAGCCAAAAGGCAGGGAUCUACUUUCUCCCAAAAUCUCACUCCCACUCACCCCUUUGCAUGACCAUCAGGCUCGGAUUUGGAGGUCGUCACAACACUUGCCACCACAGGUCUGAUUGUGGGUUAUGUUGGAGAUGGACACUUCCACUGUAUAAUGGUUAUGUACCCCUAAUGACCAGGAUGAGUUCACUAGAGUUCACUGAGAGACUGGCUAGAAAAGCAGUGGCACUGGAUGGGACAUGGACAUGGAAGCAUGGGGUGGGACUGGGAAACGAGUGUUGCUUCGUGAGGAGAUGGGACCCCUUGCCAUGGAGGUCAUGCAGGGCCUCAAGGCCACUUUGGACCCCAAUAACCUAAUGAAUCCUGGGAAGGUACUGAAGCUAUCACCUUAUCACAGAGCACUGAAUAAAUGAAUGAAGUGUACAGUACUACUUAGGGAUGCAAUACCUCUGUCUGCCACCUGGUGUCAGGCGUUUGGUAUACUUGUUUUUGUAGCGUGAGUGACUGACUAGUCCCAAGGGCAAAUUGUGUAUUAUUGUCUGUCCUCUGUUUAUCCUCUUAAGUUCCUCAGAAUUAAAUGCUUCUUUAGAUUUUACUACAAUAUAACUGUAUGGCUUGAAAUUAUUUAUUGACUACAUGUAAUGAACUAAAUCCAUCGGUUUAAUUUGGUUUCUGCUCUAUUUUGUGCCGUUGAUAUGUGCAUACUGUAACUGUAAAUGGCCCCUUCUGAUAGAGACUUAAGUAUUUAUUUAUAUUGCAAUGGUGAAGUUGCUCAUGUCUCUAAAGAUAUCUUCUUACAAUCUUAUUUGCUCAGUGGUGACAUGUGUUGAGACAAGCCAAUGAGACUAGAGAAAAACAACCCAGGCUUUAUGCAACAGAGCAAUAACACCUGUAAGGAGUCACAGGAGUGAUCCCAGUUUUCUCCUCGAGAGAAUCCAUCAAUCUAUUCAGGACAGAAGAGAACACAGCUUUUGCCUUUUAACAUUAGCUGAUGGGUCAACAAAGUAGCUUAAUGACAAGCAUUAGCACACCAUUAUUUAUUGAGUAGAUUUGUUAAACUUAACAUUUAAGCCUGAAUCUAGUUAAGGAAAUUACAUGAAAAAGCAUGUUCAUUUUGUCAUUUAUUUAUUAUUAUUAUAUAUAUAUAUAUUUAUAUAUAUAUUUAUAUACAGUACCAGUCAAACGUUUGGACACACCUACUCAUUCCAG